This 547-nucleotide ribosomal RNA is filed under the name uncultured Glomus. RNAcentral's name for it is "SSU rRNA". It matches the Rfam family "Eukaryotic small subunit ribosomal RNA", at positions 548 to 1098 of the family's 1831-position model. The record is from RNAcentral. Lineage: Eukaryota; Fungi; Glomeromycota; Glomeromycetes; Glomerales; Glomeraceae.
UUAGGGCAAGUCUGGUGCCAGCAGCCGCGGUAAUUCCAGCUCCAAUAGCGUAUAUUAAAGUUGUUGCAGUUAAAAAGCUCGUAGUUGAAUUUCGGGAUUAGCAGGUCGGUCGUGCCACUGGUACGUACUGGUCUUGCUGAUUCCUCCCUCUUGACGAGCCGUAAUGCCAUUAAUUUGGUGUUGCGGGGAAUCAGGACUGUUACCUUGAAAAAAUUAGAGUGUUUAAAGCAGGCAUGCGCUUGAAUACAUUAGCAUGGAAUAAUGAAAUAGGACGUUCGAUCUUAUUUUGUUGGUUUCUAGGAUUGACGUAAUGAUUAAUAGGGAUAGUUGGGGGCAUUAGUAUUCAAUUGUCAGAGGUGAAAUUCUUGGAUUUAUUGAAGACUAACUACUGCGAAAGCAUUUGCCAAGGAUGUUUUCAUUAAUCAAGAACGAAAGUUAGGGGAUCGAAGACGAUCAGAUACCGUCGUAGUCUUAACCAUAAACUAUGCCGACUAGGGAUCGGAUGAUGUUAAUUUUUUAAUGACUCAUUCGGCGCCUUACGGGAAAC